RNAcentral lists this ribosomal RNA (254 nucleotides) under uncultured prokaryote. RNAcentral describes it as "partial 16S ribosomal RNA". It matches the Rfam family "Bacterial small subunit ribosomal RNA", at positions 525 to 777 of the family's 1533-position model. The record is from RNAcentral.
ACGGGGGGGGGUAAGCGUUGUUCGGAAUUACUGGGCGUAAAGGGCUCGUAGGCGGCCAACUAAGUCAGACGUGAAAUCCCUCAGCUUAACUGGGGAACUGCGUCUGAUACUGGAUGGCUUGGAUCCGGAAGAGGGAUGCGGAAUUCCAGGUGUAGCGGUGAAAUGCGUAGAUAUCUGGAGGAACACCGGUGGCGAAGGCGGCAUCCUGGACCGACACUGACGCUGAUGCGCGAAAGCUAGGGGAGCAAACGGGA